UAAAUCCAUUCAUUCAUUCAGCAAAUAUUUGGUUGAGCCUCAACUAUGUGCCAGGCACUAGUUGAGGCAUGGGGAUUGAGCAUGAACAGGAAUGACAGGGUCCCUGCAUUCAAGGAGAUACCAUACCAUCCUCUUUGGAGGAAAAAGAGAGACGAUUUUAUUUGUUUGGUCUGGUUUUUGAGUGAUGUAGGGUGGCCUGGGAAUAGGCGUUCCAGAAGACAGAGAAGAGCAUAUACAAGCUUAAGACCCUGGAUGACAUGGAGCGUGGUACUCACGUGUCCCAGAAGCCAGUGUAACCACAGCCCAGUGAGAAAGGGGACAGGUCCAGACUGGGGGCCUUGUAGACAGGUUAAAGAUAUUCAUCUCUCUCCCAAGAACAAAGGGAAGCCAUUUUGGACAGGAGACUGAUGAGCAGAUUGCCAGUCCUGGAUGUACCUCAGCGUCUGACUGCUUAUCCAGUUGUUUAUCCUGGUGAGGCAUCUCUCAGCUGGCAGAUCAGUCACAGAUCUGGUUUUUGUUUUGCUUUGUUUUUCUCUUCUAAGUAUUGCUGAGCAAGACCUGCAUUUUGACUUCCCUUCCACCCUCACAAUUCACUUUGUCUGGGAGAGUCUUCUACUUCUCCCCCUUCCAAUUUUCAGACCAACUAGUGACAGCCAUCCUUAGAGGAAACUGACAUUAUUAAGAGCAUGGGGUUUGCAGAGCAGGUAUGCCUGAACACUCAGGAAGUUUUAGAGGCGAGCUUAAAUUUCAACAUCACACCAGAAGAUGGUACGAAAACAUUUCUCUUUGUCAGAGUGGAGGGGUUUGCCUCUACCCCAGUCCAAAGGGGACUUCAUUCCAAAGGGGAAAUCUGGGAAUUGCUAACUCCAGUUUGUCUUCUUUCUUUCCUUCUGGAUUGCCUGUUGCCCUGGAUGCCAUGAAAUUCGGAGGAACAACUCCCUUCCCUGGACUCCAGUAGUGACUGCAUCUCUGGGCUGUUGUGCAGAAGUACCCCAGGGGAACUACCCCAGGCUGGGUGUGGCCGGGGAAACUCAGCUCCCCGGUCAUGCACAGAGCUCAUGUCUGGUGUAUGCAAAACCCCAAGCCGAAUGACUCAUUGGAAUCACAAUGAAGCCCAGCUCAAGAGGCUGUACCAGUUUACAUUCCCCACAAGAGGUUGCCAAGUAUUUUUGUCAAACUGACAGAAAUUCAGACACAAGAAGAAAACAAUCAAGGAUAUGUUCAUCAGUUCUGCAUGUGGCAUAAAGUUGGGAGAGAGCUGAAAAACUGAUGACUGAAGCAAGAUUUAAAAGGAUAUUGCAGUUUGGGAGGAUGGCCUGAAAUCAAGAAAAAUGUAAAAUUUUGUAUAAAAAAUA
Molecule: non-coding RNA, 1355 nt
Organism: Odocoileus virginianus texanus
Lineage: Eukaryota; Metazoa; Chordata; Mammalia; Artiodactyla; Cervidae
Source: RefSeq, a predicted model, not a curated record